This 125-nucleotide small RNA is filed under the name Marmota monax (woodchuck). Lineage: Eukaryota; Metazoa; Chordata; Mammalia; Rodentia; Sciuridae. The record is from RNAcentral.
GCCAGGCAUGGUGGCACAUGCCUGUAAUCCCAGCAGUUCUGGAGGCUGAGGCAGGAGACUCAUGAGUUUAAAGCCAGCCUCAGCAAAAGCAAGGCGCUAAGCAACUCAAUGAGACCCUGUCUCUA